UUGAACGCUGGCGGCAUGCUUUACCCAUGCCAGUCGAACGGCAGCGCGGGCUUCGGCCUGGCGGCGAGUGGCGAACGGGUGAGUAAUGCAUCGGAACGUGCCCAGUAGUGGGGGAUAGCCCGGCGAAAGCCGGAUUAAUACCGCAUACGACCUGAGGGUGAAAGCGGGGGACCGAAAGGCCUCGCGCUAUUGGAGCGGCCGAUGUCGGAUUAGCUAGUUGGUGGGGUAAAGGCUUACCAAGGCGACGAUCCGUAGCUGGUCUGAGAGGACGACCAGCCACACUGGGACUGAGACACGGCCCAGACUCCUACGGGAGGCAGCAGUGGGGAAUUUUGGACAAUGGGGGCAACCCUGACCCAGCCAUGCCGCGUGCGGGAAGAAGGCCUUCGGGUUGUAAACCGCUUUUGUUCGGGAAGAAAUCCUCUGGGCUAAUACCCCGGGGGGAUGACGGUACCGGAAGAAUAAGCACCGGCUAACUACGUG
RNAcentral lists this ribosomal RNA (483 nucleotides) under uncultured bacterium. RNAcentral describes it as "partial 16S ribosomal RNA". It matches the Rfam family "Bacterial small subunit ribosomal RNA", at positions 29 to 507 of the family's 1533-position model. The record is from RNAcentral.